UACGUAGGUGGCAAGCGUUGUUCGGAAUUACUGGGCGUAAAGGGCGUGUAGGCGGUGCGGUAAGUUGGACGUGAAAUCCCCGGGCUUAACCCGGGGCGGUCGUUCAAAACUGCCGUGCUGGAGUGAGGGAGAGGGAAGUGGAAUUCCCGGUGUAGCGGUGAAAUGCGUAGAUAUCGGGAAGAACACCUGUGGCGAAGGCGGCUUCCUGGCCCACAACUGACGCUGAGGCGCGAAAGCUAGGGGAGCAAACAGG
RNAcentral lists this unclassified non-coding RNA (253 nucleotides) under uncultured Terriglobia bacterium. RNAcentral describes it as "uncultured Acidobacteriia bacterium contains 16S-23S intergenic spacer region". It matches the Rfam family "Bacterial small subunit ribosomal RNA", at positions 524 to 776 of the family's 1533-position model. Lineage: Bacteria; Pseudomonadati; Acidobacteriota; Terriglobia. The record is from RNAcentral.